This 468-nucleotide ribosomal RNA is filed under the name uncultured bacterium. Its description in RNAcentral is "partial 16S ribosomal RNA". It matches the Rfam family "Bacterial small subunit ribosomal RNA", at positions 28 to 507 of the family's 1533-position model. The record is from RNAcentral.
GACGAACGCUGGCGGCGUGCUUAACACAUGCAAGUCGAACGGAAAGGCCCUGCUUUUGUGGGGUGCUCGAGUGGCGAACGGGUGAGUAACACGUGAGUAACCUGCCCUUGACUUUGGGAUAACUUCAGGAAACUGGGGCUAAUACCGGAUAGGAGCUCCUGCUGCAUGGUGGGGGUUGGAUAGUUUCGGCGGUUGGGGAUGGACUCGCGGCUUAUCAGCUUGUUGGUGGGGUAGUGGCUUACCCAGGCUUUGACGGGUAGCCGGCCUGGGAGGGUGACCGGGCACAUUGGGACUGAGAUACGGCCCAGACUCCUACGGGAGGCAGAAGUGGGGAAUAUUGCACAAUGGGCGGAAGCCUGAUGCAGCAACGCCGCGUGCGGGAUGACGGCCUUCGGGUUGUAAACCGCUUUCGCCUGUGACGAAGCGUGAGUGACGGUAAUGGGUAAAGAAGCACCGGCUAACUACGUG